UGGGGAAUAUUGCACAAUGGGGGAAACCCUGAUGCAGCGACGCCGCGUGAAGGAAGAAGUAUCUCGGUAUGUAAACUUCUAUCAGCAGGGAAGAUAGUGACGGUACCUGACUAAGAAGCCCCGGCUAACUACGUGCCAGCAGCCGCGGUAAUACGUAGGGGGCAAGCGUUAUCCGGAUUUACUGGGUGUAAAGGGAGCGUAGACGGACUGGCAAGUCUGAUGUGAAAGGCGGGGGCUCAACCCCUGGACUGCAUUGGAAACUGUUAGUCUUGAGUGCCGGAGAGGUAAGCGGAAUUCCUAGUGUAGCGGUGAAAUGCGUAGAUAUUAGGAGGAACACCAGUGGCGAAGGCGGCUUACUGGACGGUAACUGACGUUGAGGCUCGAAGGCGUGGGGAGCAAACAGGAUUAGAUACCCUGGUAGU
This 422-nucleotide ribosomal RNA is filed under the name uncultured Lachnospiraceae bacterium. RNAcentral's name for it is "bacterial SSU rRNA". It matches the Rfam family "Bacterial small subunit ribosomal RNA", at positions 355 to 794 of the family's 1533-position model. The record is from RNAcentral. Lineage: Bacteria; Bacillati; Bacillota; Clostridia; Lachnospirales; Lachnospiraceae.